GUGCCGCCCUGGGGCGCCACUCUCACUGGGUUCUUGGCGGUGCUCACCCUACUCCACCUGCUCAGCCCAGGCUCCUGCGCCCCUGAAGUCACGCCAUGGGAGCGAGGAGCUUGCCGAGGCCCUAGACAAGGACAAUGAGGAGGGGGUGCACGUGGAGUCCCCGCGGAUAGGCUGGACGCUGGGCAGGAGCCUUUGCGGGGGUGCACAGCCUCCUCUGGAAGCCCUGGUCGCUGCCCGGUGCCUGCUGCGCCCUGCGAGCUCCGCGGCGGUGGAGCCAGGCCUGGGCUGCCUGCUCUCGGCCCUGCCUGCGGACCCUCUGCCUUUUGUCUUGCCCGUGGGGCCCGGGGCCUCAGCUGGCCCGGGAUUCCUGAAGUUAGCUGAUGAUGGGCUGGCCUCUGGGACUGGGUCGUGGGCCUUGUGCACUGGCCGCCACGUCACCAGCGCCUACCCGGGGUGCUGCUGGAGAUGCGGGAUGCCCGGGCUCGGGCUCUGCUGGGUCCCCUGGCGUUGCGAACCCCGUCACCUUCCAUCGCGGCCACCAUGCUGCCCGCUGGUCAGCCCUGGUCUGGAGCCUUCCUGGGACCCCUCCGGCCCCAAGGAGGCAUCACUCACAGCCGCUUGCGACACCGGGACCGCCUGAACCUCCGCCAGGGCUGCGCCGCGCAAGUGGCUCCAGCCAGCCAGCCCUGGCCCAUGAGCAGGACUUUCCGCUCCUCGAGAUGAUCACCCUCGGCAGGGAUACACGGCUAUGGAGGAGGCAGCGGAUACCUUCCAAAGUUUGUGGACACUCUUCUGCCACACCAAAAGUUUCACCAUCAGCUGCGAUGCCGACUGGGGCGUAGAGACCACUCCGGGAUGUGGACCAGG
RNAcentral lists this long non-coding RNA (867 nucleotides) under Homo sapiens (human). RNAcentral's name for it is "non-protein coding lnc-ZNF716-5:1". Lineage: Eukaryota; Metazoa; Chordata; Mammalia; Primates; Hominidae. The record is from RNAcentral.